UUUUCAUUCCCUCUCUAAAUUUUGCCAUCUUCCACACUCUUCUUUGCCCCCAAAAAUUUUAUCCCUAAAAUUAUUCAUUCCCUCCCUUUUUUAUGUAUGUUUAAUUGGCCCAAACCUAAAUGAAACUUUUCAAUUGAUGCAAAUUUCGGCUUCAUCUUCAAUUCGAUUUCCGUGGAUUUUGGCUUCAGCUACAGAUUGAGUUCUGUGAAUUUUGGCUUCAUCUACAAAUCUAUUUUUAUGAUAUUUUCUUCCAGGUAUGCCCAUUCCAAGAUUAUAUAUAUACUUUCUGCAAUUUCACUCAUCAUCUUCAGAAAUAUCGGUUUAGGAAUCAAGUUCAA
RNAcentral lists this long non-coding RNA (338 nucleotides) under Olea europaea (common olive). RNAcentral's name for it is "long non-coding RNA (OEUR_LNC011789)". Lineage: Eukaryota; Viridiplantae; Streptophyta; Magnoliopsida; Lamiales; Oleaceae. The record is from RNAcentral.